GUUAGGUAGAGGCUAACCAAGGUUGCAACGGGUAACGGGGAAUCAGGGUUCGAUUCCGGAGAGGGAGCCUGAGAAACGGCUACCACAUCCAAGGAAGGCAGCAGGCGCGCAAAUUACCCAAUUCGGACACCGAGAGGUGGCGACGAGGAAUAUCAGGUCGUUUCCGUAAAAGGAUGCGACACUGGAAUGAGCACAAUUUAAGACAUUUGUCGAGUAACAACUGGAGGGCAAGUCUGGUGCCAGCAGCCGCGGUAAUUCCAGCUCCAGUAGUGUAAUCUAAAGUUGCUGCGGUUAAAACGCUCGUAGUUGAAUGACGCAGCCAUGGACAGUGAGUUGGCAUUUGGUAGCGUUAAAGCUGCAAUGACAAUAUGUGUUUACCGAGUCAAUCGGUGUAACGCUGUCGUUGUGGUGUUGCCAGUGUCGAACUGACACUGCCGUUGGCUGUCUACGUAGUGGGGAUGGCGGACAACCUUUAUUGUGUUGACCGUCGUGUCCUACUGAGUGUGCCUUGAAUAAACCAGAGUGCUCAAGACAGGCAUGUUGCUUGAAUGUUAAUAGCAUGGAACGAACAAACGUGAUUUACGUGAGCUAUUCAGCGCUGCAUGCGGGCCUAUGUUUGUGUGUAGUGCUGGUAGUUCACAGCACCAACCGCCACUGACGGACGUUGGUUUCCGUUUUUGGGGUGAUGAUUAAGACGAACGGUUGGGGGCGUUGGUAUUCGACCGCGAGAGGUGAAAUUCUUAGACCGGUCGAGGACCAUCAAAUGCGRAGGCAUUCGCCAAGACCGUUUCGAUUGAUCAAGAGCGAAAGUGAGAGGUUCGAAGACGAUCAGAUACCGUCGUAGUUCUCACAGUAAACUAUGCCAACCCGGGAUCAGCUUUGAGCUAAUAUUACAACGCUGGUGGUUGGUCCCCCUGGGAAACCUUAAGUUUUUAGGUUCCGGGGGGAGUAUGGUUGCAAGGCUGAAACUUAAAGGAAUUGACGGAAGGGCACCACCAGGAGUGGAGCCUGCGGCUCAAUUUGACUCAACACGGGAAAACUUACCUGGUCCGCACAUCGAUAGGAUUGACAGACUGAUAGAUCUUUCGAGAUACGGUGAUUAGUGGUGCAUGGCCGUUCUUAGUUCGUGAAGUAAUUUGUCUGGCUAAUCCCGAUAACGAACGAAACCUCUGUCUCCAUUUAUGGGGUUGAUGCAAUGAAAAUGGCGUGUGUGUGUAACAGCAUACAUGGCGCUUUCAUGUUGGUAAAACGGUGAAGUCGAGUUUUGCUGGGGUUGGGGCAACCUAAUUUCAGUAAAGAGCGGCGUAGCUGGGAUUCCCAUCAAACUAACAGAGGCAGUUAGUGGUUUCGGCUGCUGCUGCUUACUGUGCUAUGGAGAGACUACCGCGUAUAUUAAAGGCGGUUGAAGUAGAGGCAAAAACAGGUCUGUGAUGCCCUAAGAUGCCCAGGGCCGCACGCGCGCUACAAUGACGACAACAGUGAGUAUUCUGGGUCGAAAGACUUGGACAAUCUUGUAAAUUGUCGUCGUGAAGUGGAUUGUGCUYUGCAACUAUCGCACAUAAAAUUGGAAUUCCUCGUAAGUACACGGAAUCAGCGUGUGCUGAUUGCGUCCCUGCCCUUUGUACACACCGCCCGUCGCUACUACCGAGUGAAUAGUGUCAUGAUGCGUUAGGACUGUGCGUCAGCUGCCUUUCGAGGCAAUUGAUGCUGGGAUUAACGUAGAAUGGCUCGAUUUCGAGGAAGUAAAAGUCGUAACAAGGUUUCCGUAG
Molecule: ribosomal RNA, 1769 nt
Filed under: Chloromyxum kurisi
Lineage: Eukaryota; Metazoa; Cnidaria; Myxozoa; Bivalvulida; Chloromyxidae
Description: SSU rRNA
Rfam family: Eukaryotic small subunit ribosomal RNA
Source: RNAcentral